UUGGGAUAUGGAGAUAUGUAUCCGCAAACCUGGUCUGGUAUGCUGGUGGGUGCCUUAUGCGCCUUGGCUGGUGUGCUCACCAUUGCCAUGCCAGUCCCUGUUAUUGUAAAUAAU
Molecule: non-coding RNA, 114 nt
Organism: Xenopus tropicalis (tropical clawed frog)
Lineage: Eukaryota; Metazoa; Chordata; Amphibia; Anura; Pipidae
Source: Rfam